This 460-nucleotide ribosomal RNA is filed under the name uncultured bacterium. RNAcentral describes it as "partial 16S ribosomal RNA". It matches the Rfam family "Bacterial small subunit ribosomal RNA", at positions 338 to 795 of the family's 1533-position model. The record is from RNAcentral.
CCUACGGGGGGCUGCAGUGAGGAAUAUUGGUCAAUGGACGAGAGUCUGAACCAGCCAAGUAGCGUGAAGGAUGACUGCCCUAUGGGUUGUAAACUUCUUUUAUAUGGGAAUAAAAUGUUCCACGUGUGGGAUUUUGUAUGUACCAUAUGAAUAAGGAUCGGCUAACUCCGUGCCAGCAGCCGCGGUAAUACGGAGGAUCCGAGCGUUAUCCGGAUUUAUUGGGUUUAAAGGGCGCGUAGGUGGAUUGUUAAGUCAGUUGUGAAAGUUUGCGGCUCAACCUUAAAAUUGCAGUUGAAACUGGCAGUCUUGAGUACAGUAGAGGUGGGUGGAAUUCGUGGUGUAGCGGUGAAAUGCUUAGAGAUCACGAAGAACUCCGAUUGCGAAGGCAGUUCACUGGACUGCAACUGACACUGAGGCUCGAAAGUGUGGGUAUCAAACAGGAUUAGAUACCCGAGUAGUC